Molecule: long non-coding RNA, 1093 nt
Filed under: Monodelphis domestica (gray short-tailed opossum)
Lineage: Eukaryota; Metazoa; Chordata; Mammalia; Didelphimorphia; Didelphidae
Description: lncRNA (ENSMODG00000036218.2)
Source: RNAcentral
CAUGGGUUUUACAAGCUAGACAAUUACUGAACAGAGUCUAUGAACAGGAUUUGGUGUAGUAUAAUUGAAAAUCUGUUACCCUAUAAAAGAACUACAUUUCCCAGGAGCCUAAUGACUUCCUGUCAUUACGUACUUCCUAUAGACAGAGGAUAUAAUGCCAGGAUGGGGAGAGUCCUGCUCUUCUUGGGCUUGCAGCCAGUGGUGAUGAUGGAACUGAGUGACAUACUGAAGACAAACUAUAUAUAAUGAGGAAAAGAAGCUUCAGAACUAUAUAAAAUCACUGACUCUCAAAUCCCAAUGGAAUUUAUAUCUAUGAAGUAUAAACUUCAUAAUUGUUUUGCAGAAGGAGGAAAGGAUUUCCAGUAACCACAAUGUAAUGUUUAUCUUUUGAACAAAUAGACUUUCUAUGUGUGAACCCAUUCACCAGCUUCUCAACAUAUGAAAUGAGCCAUCUUUCUGCUUUUGUAUUGAGACAACUCUCCCCAGGCAACUCAUGUGUGUAAGUAUUGAGUGUAUCCCCAGUUUAGGGAGGUGCUCUGUAACAAAUGUCUUUCCUAAUUAUCCUCAUAAAUACCCUUUAUAUAAGAUAAUUAAGUCUCACUAAUAAUCAGUAUUGUGGGAGUUUAUGAGAAAAGUAUAAAAAAGUAACCCUUUACUACAUUAUUUCUUGAACCGUGAAGGGAGAGUAGUAGUCAUCUCUCUUCUGGGCAUCCAUUUCACCAAGACAAGGAUGGGAAAUUAGCCUCUGAGAGCUCUAACAUAUUAAUAUUGGUGCCACAGUUUUUAUUGCAUUGAAAGAGUCUGUGAGAACCCAGGAUCACCUCCAUAAUUUUGUGACAAAUCAGAGGAGGAGUUUAUUUGGUGUCAAAAAGCAAUUAAUGAGCAAGUGAGAAAUUUAUUUUUUAGAGAUGGUUGGAAAAUGCCUCAAGCAGAUAGGAUGAUCACUUGCUAGUUAAGUUAUGGAACAAAUUCUCAUUCUGGUAGAGUUUAAAUGAAAUGACCUAAAAAGUACUUUCCAAUUCUGAGCUGUGUGAACCUAUUAGGGUUGUGGAAAAAAAAUAAACUAAAGGGAGCAUUGGUAAAUUGUUUAGCU